Bos taurus (domestic cattle) is the source of this 903-nucleotide long non-coding RNA. The record is from Ensembl. Lineage: Eukaryota; Metazoa; Chordata; Mammalia; Artiodactyla; Bovidae.
CCUGAGGUGGUGGUACCUGGGGUUCACCUAAUGUUUCUCCUCAAAGUGAAACCAGUGCGGGCGGUAGUCUCCGCGCGUGCGUUCGCUGCGGCCCGCGGGUCGCGUGGUCAGCUCGGAACCUGAGGGUGUGGGGGAAGGUCGGGGCGUCUGGGGAAGGGUCCUGACAGGCAGGGUGGAGGAGGAUCGCGGGGCGGGUCCGGGGGAGGGUCGCCAAGCGUUCCCGCAGGACUCGAGCCCGUGGCCAUGACCGCGCUCCGGGUUCCGCGGCGGCUGUGCUGGUUGGUGCUGGAUGAGAGGAGCUGCACGCGGCUGGGCGCGCGGGCUGCGCGGGGUCUGCCGGAGAUACCCUCCUGCACACUUUACGCGCCACAGCCGCUGGGACAUCUUGGCCUAUCUGGGACCUGGACAUCGAAGCCGUCCACCAGGACUACAAGCGGGCUCUCUCUGCACGAGGCUGCCUCCAUGGGACACCCGGACUGCGUGCGGUACCUGCUGGCCCGGGGGGCCGCCGUCGACUGCUUGGAAGGCCGACUGGGUCUUUUCCAAUGAGUCAGCUCUUCACAUCAGGUGGCCAGAGUAUUGGAGCUUCAUCCUCAGUCCUUCCAAUGAAUAUUAAGGGGUGAUUUCCUUUAGGAUUGACUGGUUUGAUCUCCUGACUGUCCAAGAGAUUCUCAAGAGUCUUCUCCAAGGGGGAGAAUGGAUACAUGUAUUAUAUCUAUAGCUGAGUCUCUUUACUGUUCACCUGAAACUAUCACAACAUUGUUAAUUGGCUAUACCCCAAUAAAAAAUAAAAAAUUAAAGAAACAAAAAAAUGAAACAGUGUUGGUAGUUAAUACCAAAGCAGUCCUGUUUAGUCAAAGGCAUGGUUUUUGCAGUAGUCAUGUAUGGAUGUGAGAGUUGGAC